Molecule: ribosomal RNA, 483 nt
Filed under: uncultured bacterium
Lineage: Bacteria
Description: partial 16S ribosomal RNA
Rfam family: Bacterial small subunit ribosomal RNA
Source: RNAcentral
AUUGAACGCUGGCGGCAUGCUUUACACAUGCAAGUCGAACGGCAGCGCGGGCUUCGGCCUGGCGGCGAGUGGCGAACGGGUGAGUAAUGCAUCGGAACGUGCCCAGUAGUGGGGGAUAGCCCGGCGAAAGCCGGAUUAAUACCGCAUACGACCUGAGGGUGAAAGCGGGGGACCGAAAGGCCUCGCGCUAUUGGAGCGGCCGAUGUCGGAUUAGCUAGUUGGUGGGGUAAAGGCUUACCAAGGCGACGAUCCGUAGCUGGUCCGAGAGGACGACCAGCCACACUGGGACUGAGACACGGCCCAGACUCCUACGGGAGGCAGCAGUGGGGAAUUUUGGACAAUGGGGCAACCCUGAUCCAGCCAUGCCGCGUGCGGGAAGAAGGCCUUCGGGUUGUAAACCGCUUUUGUUCGGGAAGAAAUCCUCUGGGCUAAUACCCCGGGGGGAUGACGGUACCGGAAGAAUAAGCACCGGCUAACUACGUG